This 566-nucleotide ribosomal RNA is filed under the name uncultured bacterium. RNAcentral describes it as "bacterial SSU rRNA". It matches the Rfam family "Bacterial small subunit ribosomal RNA", at positions 38 to 613 of the family's 1533-position model. The record is from RNAcentral.
UGCGUGCGCUUAUGCUGCAAGUUCGAGGGUAUAACCAGUUGGUCCGUAAGGAUCGGUUGGGGAAACCGGCGAACGGGUGCGUAACACGUGAGGAACCUGCCCCGAAGACCGUGAUAGCCCGGGGAAACCCGGAUUAAUACCGGAUACCCUCUUUGGACCACAUGGUCUGUUGAGGAAAUGGUCUGCCGCUUCGGGAUGGCCUCGCGGCCUAUCAGCUUGUUGGUGAGGUAAUGGCUCACCAAGGCCGAGACGGGUAGCUGGUCUGAGAGGACGACCAGCCACACUGGGACUGAGAUACGGCCCAGACUCCUACGGGAGGCAGCAGCAGGGAAUAUUGCACAAUGGGCGAAAGCCUGAUGCAGCGACACCGCGUGCGGGAUGAAGGCCUUCGGGUUGUAAACCGCUUUCAGGAGGGACGAAAAUGACGGUACCUCCAGAAGAAGGCCCAGCCAACUACGUGCCAGCAGCCGCGGUAAUACGUAGGGGCCAAACGUUGUCCGGAUUUAUUGGGCGUAAAGGGCUCGUAGGCGGUUCAACAAGUCGGUCGUGAAAACCCGGGGCUCAAC